Long non-coding RNA from Hippoglossus stenolepis (Pacific halibut), 902 nucleotides. RefSeq lists it as uncharacterized. The transcript has 3 exons. The record is from RefSeq and is a predicted model, not a curated record. NCBI's taxonomy places the organism in Eukaryota, Metazoa, Chordata, Actinopteri, Pleuronectiformes, Pleuronectidae.
CUCUCUCUCUCUCUCUCUAUCUGCUGCUGGAGAGCUCUCUCACAAACAGUGUGCAGUCCUGGCUGGUUUUCAGUUGUGUGUGUAGUGCAGAGCGGAUAGAGAGGGAGAAGACGAGGGGGAGACAGAUGAGGGACAGAGCAUUUUGAGAGAGAGGGGAAGAGAGAGAGAGAUGAGUGUUGUUCAUGUGAGCAACAACGGAGAAUAGAAGAAGGGAUGUUUACUAAGAAGAUAAACUCUGUGGGACUGAGAAGUUUUUUCCAUGAUUACAAAUCCUGCUAAGAGGAAAAGAACGGGGGCUCGUCUCCACCUGAGGGUUGAAGGCUGCAGCAAGAGCCAGAUCAAACACUCCGUGACUUUAUCACGUCCACCUGUCACACUCAGUGGGCUGCCAGGUUCCCCCCAUCACUGCAUCACGGCUAUGAAAUCAAUCUGCUGAGGGACGGGGGAUCGGACUGAGGGAUCAGACUGAUUGAUAAGAGACACUGGCAGGAAUCUACUGGAGUCGUAAGCAGCGUUUAGAUAGUGCAGACUGUGAAAUCAACAUCGCCAGAAGGUACUGCGAGGCUCAUCUGUAUGGCGGAGUGGCGGUGUGUCACACUAAAGAAGUGGAAAAGAAAAACAGAGCCUUGAGGAGUAAACAUUCGUCUAUGCAGUGACAGGGACGGGCUGACUUUCCUUAAAUAUUCAGCAGAAGCAAAUGUGCAUCAUGCCAAGGAACACUCACAAUGCACCAGGCAAUGGAGAGGUAAUGAUGAUAUAAUGGAUUCACACUCCUUCUCUUAAAAGAGGACAUAGCUGAUGCUCAGCUUCACUCAUUCGCUGAAAAUAAACCAAGGACAUCAUGGAAGCGACUUAAAAUUUCCUAUCUAAACUGACCAACCCUGGACACGGCCGUCCAGUCU